AUUGAACGCUGGCGGCAUGCUUUACACAUGCAAGUCGAACGGCAGCACGGGAGCUUGCUCCUGGUGGCGAGUGGCGAACGGGUGAGUAAUGCAUCGGAACGUACCCAGUAGUGGGGGAUAGCCCGGCGAAAGCCGGAUUAAUACCGCAUAUUUCCUGAGGGAGAAAGCGGGGGACCUUCGGGCCUCGCGCUACUGGAGCGGCUGAUGUCGGAUUAGCUAGUUGGUGAGGUAAAGGCUCACCAAGGCGACGAUCCGUAGCUGGUCUGAGAGGAUGAUCAGCCACACUGGGACUGAGACACGGCCCAGACUCCUACGGGAGGCAGCAGUGGGGAAUUUUGGACAAUGGGGGCAACCCUGAUCCAGCCAUGCCGCGUGAGUGAAGAAGGCCUUCGGUUGUAAGCUCUUCAGGUGGAAAGAAAUACACUACCCGAACU
RNAcentral lists this ribosomal RNA (434 nucleotides) under uncultured bacterium. RNAcentral's name for it is "bacterial SSU rRNA". It matches the Rfam family "Bacterial small subunit ribosomal RNA", at positions 30 to 464 of the family's 1533-position model. The record is from RNAcentral.